Rhagoletis zephyria (snowberry fruit fly) is the source of this 98-nucleotide long non-coding RNA. RefSeq lists it as uncharacterized. The record is from RefSeq and is a predicted model, not a curated record. NCBI's taxonomy places the organism in Eukaryota, Metazoa, Arthropoda, Insecta, Diptera, Tephritidae.
AAAUUCAAUUUUUCCAAGUGUAAUCUAAUCGAUCAGGAUUGUGGACUCUACAAAAAUCAUUACGUUGAGCAAGUAGUUCUGUGUCGGGUUCAUAUUCA